RNAcentral lists this ribosomal RNA (253 nucleotides) under uncultured bacterium. Its description in RNAcentral is "partial 16S ribosomal RNA". It matches the Rfam family "Bacterial small subunit ribosomal RNA", at positions 524 to 776 of the family's 1533-position model. The record is from RNAcentral.
UACGUAGGGAGCAAGCGUUAUCCGGAUUUAUUGGGUGUAAAGGGUGCGUAGACGGAGAAGCAAGUUAGUUGUGAAAUCCCUCGGCUUAACUGAGGAACUGCAACUAAAACUACUUCCCUUGAGUACUGGAGAGGAAAGUGGAAUUCCUAGUGUAGCGGUGAAAUGCGUAGAUAUUAGGAGGAACACCAGUGGCGAAGGCGACUUUCUGGACAGUAACUGACGCUGAGGCACGAAAGUGUGGGGAGCAAACAGG